UGUCAUGUGUGUCAAAGCCAAGCUCUCCAGCGAAUCUCUGUGUUCUGCAGUCUGGGUUUUGCAAUCUGUGUUGUGUGUUCUGACCUGCCUAGAUCUCACUGUUUAUAUGCUUGGAUUCUCCGCCAAGCACCCUUUUGGAUUUGAUUGCCUGUCUGACUGAUUUCCUGGUUUUGAUCCAGCCAGUCUACCGAGGAAACACACUUUGCCUGAACUGUGCCAUAGCUUCGGAGAGCUAAGAUGUUACUUGUCACAUCAACAACCAUUAGAGACUGUGCCUACAACAAAACGAGCCAUAAAUUUCCUCCAUCAUGCACUCUUUCUCACCGCGGUCACCAGGGACUCCAUCUCUACAAAGCACAGCCACUAUAGUGACGUGAACGGGACACCCGGGGGGAUGUGUAGAGUCUGCAUGCAGCGGUAUAGAGCCGUGGAUGAACUUCUGGGUAGAUGGGAAUGUUACCAAGGAGAAACUUGAUAUGCUCUAUAUAUUCCAAUGGCUUUAGGAAAAUAUAUUCAAAAGGCACUCCGGAUUUACAAACCGUCAUUACAGAGCCGGUGCAGACAUCAGCAU
Molecule: long non-coding RNA, 571 nt
Organism: Gasterosteus aculeatus aculeatus (three-spined stickleback)
Lineage: Eukaryota; Metazoa; Chordata; Actinopteri; Perciformes; Gasterosteidae
Source: Ensembl